ACCCAGUGCAGGGUUAAUAGCUGCUGUACCCAGUACAGGGGUAAUAGCUGCUGUACCCAGUGCAGGGGUAAUAGCUGCUGUACCCAGUGCAUGGGGUAAUAGCGGCUGUACCCAGUGCAGGGUUAAUAGCUGCUGUACCCAGUGCAGGGGGGAUAGCGGCUGUAUCCAGUGCAGGGUUAAUAGCUGCUGUACCCAGUGCCGGGGUAAUAGCGGCUAUACCCAGUGCAGGGGGAUAGCGGCUGA
Pelobates cultripes (western spadefoot toad) is the source of this 243-nucleotide non-coding RNA. Lineage: Eukaryota; Metazoa; Chordata; Amphibia; Anura; Pelobatidae. The record is from the annotation of a GenBank genome assembly.